RNAcentral lists this ribosomal RNA (1333 nucleotides) under Microbacterium sp. RNAcentral describes it as "bacterial SSU rRNA". It matches the Rfam family "Bacterial small subunit ribosomal RNA", at positions 79 to 1424 of the family's 1533-position model. The record is from RNAcentral. Lineage: Bacteria; Bacillati; Actinomycetota; Actinomycetes; Micrococcales; Microbacteriaceae.
CUUGCUCUUCUGAUCAGUGGCGAACGGGUGAGUAACACGUGAGCAAUCUGCCCCUGACUCUGGGAUAAGCGCUGGAAACGGCGUCUAAUACUGGAUAUGAGCUGCGACCGCAUGGUCAGCAGUUGGAAAGAAUUUCGGUCAGGGAUGAGCUCGCGGCCUAUCAGCUUGUUGGUGAGGUAAUGGCUCACCAAGGCGUCGACGGGUAGCCGGCCUGAGAGGGUGACCGGCCACACUGGGACUGAGACACGGCCCAGACUCCUACGGGAGGCAGCAGUGGGGAAUAUUGCACAAUGGGCGCAAGCCUGAUGCAGCAACGCCGCGUGAGGGACGACGGCCUUCGGGUUGUAAACCUCUUUUAGCAGGGAAGAAGCGGAAGUGACGGUACCUGCAGAAAAAGCACCGGCUAACUACGUGCCAGCAGCCGCGGUAAUACGUAGGGUGCAAGCGUUAUCCGGAAUUAUUGGGCGUAAAGAGCUCGUAGGCGGUUUGUCGCGUCUGCUGUGAAAUCCCGAGGCUCAACCUCGGGUCUGCAGUGGGUACGGGCAGACUAGAGUGCGGUAGGGGAGAUUGGAAUUCCUGGUGUAGCGGUGGAAUGCGCAGAUAUCAGGAGGAACACCGAUGGCGAAGGCAGAUCUCUGGGCCGUAACUGACGCUGAGGAGCGAAAGGGUGGGGAGCAAACAGGCUUAGAUACCCUGGUAGUCCACCCCGUAAACGUUGGGAACUAGUUGUGGGGUCCAUUCCACGGAUUCCGUGACGCAGCUAACGCAUUAAGUUCCCCGCCUGGGGAGUACGGCCGCAAGGCUAAAACUCAAAGGAAUUGACGGGGACCCGCACAAGCGGCGGAGCAUGCGGAUUAAUUCGAUGCAACGCGAAGAACCUUACCAAGGCUUGACAUAUACGAGAACGCUGCAGAAAUGUGGAACUCUUUGGACACUCGUAAACAGGUGGUGCAUGGUUGUCGUCAGCUCGUGUCGUGAGAUGUUGGGUUAAGUCCCGCAACGAGCGCAACCCUCGUUCUAUGUUGCCAGCACGUAAUGGUGGGAACUCAUGGGAUACUGCCGGGGUCAACUCGGAGGAAGGUGGGGAUGACGUCAAAUCAUCAUGCCCCUUAUGUCUUGGGCUUCACGCAUGCUACAAUGGCCGGUACAAAGGGCUGCAAUACCGUAAGGUGGAGCGAAUCCCAAAAAGCCGGUCCCAGUUCGGAUUGAGGUCUGCAACUCGACCUCAUGAAGUCGGAGUCGCUAGUAAUCGCAGAUCAGCAACGCUGCGGUGAAUACGUUCCCGGGUCUUGUACACACCGCCCGUCAAGUCAUGAAAGUCGGUAACACCUGA